GAUGAACGCUAGCGGCAGGCCUAAUACAUGCAAGUCGAACGGUAACAGGGUAGCAAUACUGCUGACGAGUGGCGCACGGGUGAGUAACGCGUAUGCAACCUACCUUUAACUGGAGGAUAACCCCUCGAAAGAGGGACUAAUAUUCCAUAGUAAUCAGAGAAGGCAUCUUUUUUGGUUUAAAGCUCCGGCGGUUAAAGAUGGGCAUGCGUGACAUUAGUUAGUUGGUGAGGUAACGGCUCACCAAGACGAUGAUGUCUAGGGGUUCUGAGAGGAUGAUCCCCCACACUGGUACUGAGACACGGACCAGACUCCUACGGGAGGCAGCAGUAAGGAAUAUUGGGCAAUGGAGGCAACUCUGACUUAGCCAUGCCGCGUGAAGGAUGACGGCCCUAUGGGUUGUAAACUUCUUUUAUACGGGAAUAAACCCGGGUACGUGUACCCGGCUGAAUGUACCGUAAGAAUAAGGAUCGGCUAACUCCGUGCCAGCAGCCGCGGUAAUACGGAGGAUCCAAGCGUUAUCCGGAUUCAUUGGGUUUAAAGGGUGCGUAGGCGGAUUUGUNAAGUCAGCGGUGAAANCCUACAGCUUAACUGUAGAACUGCCGUUGAUACUGCAAGUCUUGAGUACAUUUGAUGUGGGCGGAAUGUGUCAUGUAGCGGUGAAAUGCUUAGAUAUGACACGGAACACCGAUUGCGAAGGCAGCUCACAAAACUGUAACUGACGCUGAGGCACGACAGCGUGGGGAUCAAACAGGAUUAGAUACCCUGGUAGUCCACGCCGUAAACUAUGAUCACUCGAUGUUGGCGAUAUACAGCCAGCGUCUAAGCUAAAGCAUUAAGUGAUCCACCUGGGGAGUACGGUCGCAAGAUUGAAACUCAAAGGAAUUGACNGGGGGCCCGCACAAGCGGNAGGAGCAUGUGGNUUUAANUUCGAUGAUACGCGAGGNAACCNUUACCAGGGCUUGAAAGUUAGUGACCSSCGCCGAAAGGUGGCUUUCAGCAAUGACACGAAACUAGGUGCUGCAUGGCUGUCGUCAGCUCGUGCCGUGAGGUGUUGGGUUAAGUCCCGCAACGAGCGCAACCCCUAUCUUUAGUUGCCAGCGAGUAAUGUCGGGGACUCUAAAGAAACUGCCCGCGUAAGCGUGGAGGAAGGAGGGGAUGACGUCAAGUCAGCACGGCCCUUACGUCCUGGGCUACACACGUGCUACAAUGGGCGAGACAAUGGGUUGCUACACAGUAAUGUGAUGCUAAUCUCAAAACUCGUUCUCAGUUCGGAUUGAGGUCUGCAACUCGACCUCAUGAAGCUGGAUUCGCUAGUAAUCGGAUAUCAGCAAUGAUCCGGUGAAUACGUUCCCGGGCCUUGUACACACCGCCCGUCAAACAAUGGAAGCCGAGGGUACCUGAAGUCGAUAACCGCAAGGAGUCGCCUAGGGUAAAAUUGGUAACUGGUGUU
Molecule: ribosomal RNA, 1450 nt
Filed under: uncultured bacterium
Lineage: Bacteria
Description: bacterial SSU rRNA
Source: RNAcentral